UACAUGGAUAACUGUGGUAAUUCUAGAGCUAAUACAUGCAGCAAGCCUUGACCCUCACGGGCAAGGCGCAGUUAUUAGAUCAAAAACCAAUCGGUUGUGUCUUCGGAUAUAGCCGUUAGCUUGGUGACUCUGAGUAACCACAGCGAACCGUAUGGCCUUGUGCUCGACGGUCUGUCAGUCAAGCAACUGCCUUAUCAGCUUGUUGUUAGGUUAUAUGCCUAACAAGGCUUCAACGGGUAACGAACGAUCGGGGUCGGAUAUCGGAGAGGGAGCUUGAGAAACGGCUACCACUUCCAAGGAAGGCAGCAGGCGCGCAAAUUACCCACUCUCGGCAUGAGGAGGUAGCGAUGAAAUGUAUCGAUGCGGGGCCAUUAGUGCCUUCGUAAUCGGAAUGAGUACACUUUAAAUCCUAUAACGAGGACCUAUUGGAGGGCAAGUCUGGUGCCAGCAGCCGCGGUAAUUCCAGCUCCAAUAGCGUAUAUUAAUGCUGCUGCGGUUAAAAAGCUCGUAGUCGGAUCUGGGUUCCCGGCGGGUACCGCAUGUUGCUUCAUGCAGCAUGUUGUGUACUAUACGUGUCGCUUCGGCGGCACUGCCAGUGUAGCGCUGUCUCUUGUAGGCACGUUGCGCUGGUCGCCGGAACCACGGGCCGGGUUGAGCAGCAUGCUCUUAAUUGAGUGUGUUGUUUACUCGGUGCGUUUACUUUGAAAAAAUUGGAGUGCUCAAAGCAAGCGUACAGUCGCUAUGCGGCUUGAACAGUGGUGCAUGGAAUAAUGGAAUAGGGCCUCGGUUCUAUUUUGUUGGUUUUAAGAUAUCGAGGUAAUGAUUAAGAGGGACAGACGGGGACGUUUGUAUUGCGACGUUAGAGGUGAAAUUCUUGGAUCGUCGCAAGACACACUAAUGCGAA
Molecule: ribosomal RNA, 904 nt
Filed under: Barbaria jenningsi
Lineage: Eukaryota; Metazoa; Tardigrada; Heterotardigrada; Echiniscoidea; Echiniscidae
Description: SSU rRNA
Rfam family: Eukaryotic small subunit ribosomal RNA
Source: RNAcentral